Molecule: non-coding RNA, 112 nt
Organism: Acanthosepion pharaonis
Lineage: Eukaryota; Metazoa; Mollusca; Cephalopoda; Sepiida; Sepiidae
Source: the annotation of a GenBank genome assembly
UAUGGCCACAUCAUGUUCAAACACCAGAUCCUGUACAAUCACCAAAGUUAAACAAUGUUGAGCCUGGUCAGUACCUAGAUGGGUACCUGCUUGGGAAUACCAGCUGCUGUAA